UACGGGUGAGGCAAGCGUUGUUCGGAAUCACUGGGCUUAAAGCGCGUGUAGGCGGCUUGGUAAGUAUCUUGUGAAAUCCCUUCUCUCAAUGAAGGAACGGCGAGGUAUACUGCCGGGCUUGAGGUAGGUAGGGGUGCCUGGAACUCUAGGUGGAGCGGUGAAAUGCGUAGAUAUCUAGAGGAACGCCCGUGGCGAAAGCGGGGCACUGGGCCUUACCUGACGCUGAGACGCGAAAGCGUGGGUAGCAAACGGG
This 253-nucleotide ribosomal RNA is filed under the name uncultured bacterium. Its description in RNAcentral is "partial 16S ribosomal RNA". It matches the Rfam family "Bacterial small subunit ribosomal RNA", at positions 524 to 776 of the family's 1533-position model. The record is from RNAcentral.